CCGCCGCGCCGGCCGCUGGAGCGAGCGCCACCCGGGCCACCUGGCUGCGGCGAAGCGGCGAGACUCGGUGGCCACCGCGGGACUCCGAGGAGCUGCGGCCGCUGAGCGCAUCGGAGGGCGGGCGCGCCGAGGCGCCGGGUGGGAGCGGAGCAUCUUCACUUCUGCGGGGACCUAGUUUGCCCCCACCUGAUGCAACCCAGAAAAUGGACUGACUGCGAGUGCCUUGGGGCGGAGAAUGUGUCUUGCUACGUGUAAAGCACCUAGAACCCUGCCAGAUUCAGGGGACACAGCAUCCUGCCGUUUUCCUGCCGUCCCCCGCCCGCCACACAGUAGGCGCUCCAGUGGCUCGGGGCAUCUACCAGGCAGGCCGCGCUGUCCUGCCCUGCCGGGGCUGGAGUGGAGCAACCCUCCGGGGCCACCCACAUCUGGGUACCUUUUCCCCACUUUUUCCACCCCAGCCGCGCACAGUCACCAGAAAACUCUUUUAGAAAUACAAACACUUGGCCUGGCGCGGUGGCUCACACCUGUAAUCCCAGCACUCUGGGAGGCCGAGGCGGAUGGAUCACCUGAGGUCAGGAGUUCAAGACCAGCGUGGCCAACAUGGUGAAACCCCAUCGCUACUAAAAAUACGAAAAAAUUAGCUGGGCGUGGUGGUGGGCAUCUGUGAUCUCAGCUACGCAGGAUGCUGAGGCAGGAGAAUCGCUUGAACCCAGGAGGCGGAGGUUACAGUGACCAAAGAGGGCACCACUGCACUCCAGCCUGGGCAACAAGAGCGAAACUUUAUCUAAAAAAAAUAAAAAUAAAAAAAUACAAUCACUUUUCUCUGAUUGGAAUCAAGGUCCCAGAAUACAAUCUUAAGAACAAGUUUUGGCCAGUGUGGUGGCUCACGCCUGUAAUCCCAGCACUUUGGGAGGCAGUGGCCGGUGGAUCACCUGAGGUCAGGAGUUCGAGACCAGCCUGGCCAAUUUUUAGUAGAGCCCAUCUCUACUAAAAAUACAAAAAUUAGCUGGGUGUGGUGAUGCGCACCUGUAGUCCCAGCUACUUGGGAGGCUGAGGCAGGAGAAUGGUGUGAACCUGGGAGGCGGUGCUUGCAGUGAGCGGAGAUCACACCACUGCACUCCAGCCUGGGCGACAGAGCGAGACUCCGUCUCAAAAAAAAAAUAGUAAGUUUCAGGUCGAUGGAAGUUGAAUAAGAAGGCCUAGGCUGGAUACAGUGGCCUACACCUAUAAUCCCAGCACUUUGGAAGGCCAAGGCAGGCAGAUCCUUUGAACCAAGGAGUAGGAGACCAGCCUGGGCAACAUAGUGAGACCCUCCUCUCCAUAAAAAAUUUUUCAAAAUUAAAAAAAAAGAAGGCCUGAAGCUGACAUAGCUGAGAAAGUUUGUUUUAACUCACUACCAUUGAAUAAAAACUUAAUAGUUUUAUCAAGAUAUAAUUUACAUACUAUGAAAUUCACCUAUUUUGUGUACAAUUUAAUGAUUCUCAGUAAAUUUACACAGUAAAUUUGCACAACCAUUGCCACUAAUUUCAGAACAUUUCCAUUACCCCAAAAAGAUCCUUCACGAUGGUGGGCAGUUUGGUUCCCAUCCUUAGCCCCAGGCAACCACUCAUCUACAUUUUCUCUCUAUGGAUUUGUCCAGAUUUUUCACAUAAGUAGAAUCUUACAGCAUGCAGCCUUUUGUGUCUGCCUUCUUUCAUUUGUCAUAAUGUUUUUGAGGUUUAUCUAAGGUUGUGGCAUGUAGCAGUAUUUCAUUCCUUAUUAUUGCUAUGUCAUAUUCCAUGUAUGGACAUACCACAUUUUGUGUCUACUUUCCAAUUGUGGAUGUUUAGAUUGUGUCAACUUUUUGAGUAUUAUGAAAAUGCUGCUGGGGCUGAGAUUGGUGGCUCACUCCUGUAAUCCCAACACUUUAGGAUACCGAGAUGGGAGGAUCACUUGAAUACCCCGGAGUUUGAAACCAGCCUGGGCAACAUAGAGAGACCCUGUCUCUAUGAAAAACUUUAAAAAUAAAAAAUUAGCUGGUUGGCUGGGCGUGGUGGCUCAUGCCUAUAAUCCCAGCACUUUGGGAGGCCGAGGUGGGUGGAUCACCUGAGAUCAGGAGUUCGAGACCAGCCUGGCCUACAUGGUGAAAUCCCGUCUCUACUAAAAAUACAAAAAAUUAGCCAGGCGUGGUGGCGGGCACCUGUAAUCUCAGCUACUUGGGAGGCUGAGGCAGGAGAAUUGCUUGAACCCAGGAGGCGGAGGUUACAGUGAGCCGAGAUUGCACCAUUGCACUGAAGCCUGGGUGACACAGCAAUACUCUGUCUCCAAAAAAAAAAAAAAAAAAAAAUUAGCUGGUCAUGGUGACACGCACCUAUAGUCCCAGCUACUAGGGAGGCUGAAGCAGAAGGACCGCUUGAGCCCAGGAGAUCGAGGUUGCUGUGAGCUACGAAUGCGCCACUGCACUCUAGCCUGGGCAACAGACCAAGACCCUGUCUCGUUCAGUUAAUAGAGUUGCUAAAACACACACACACACACACAAAGAAGAAGAAAGAAAAAUAAUAAUGCUGCUAUGAACAUUUGUGAACAUAUAUCUUCAUGUGGAUAUAUGUUUUCAUUUAUCUUGGGUUGGUUCCUACAAACGAAAUUGUUGGGUGAUGUGGUAAGUUUAUUUAGUUAUUUUUAUUUUAUUUAUUUAUUUAUGGAAACUACCUUUUCUCUGGACUUCAGAAGGCUUAAGCUUUAUAUGAAAAUAUCAGAGUAGGCUGGGCACGGUGGCUCAUGCCUGUAAUCCCAGCACUUUGGGAGACUGAGGUGGGCUGAUCACCUGAGGUCAAGAGAUCGAGACCAUCCUUGCCAACAUGGUGAAACCCUGUCUCUAUUAAAAAUACAAAAAUUAGCCAGGCAUGGUGGCUCACACCUGUAAUCCCAGCACUUUGGGAGGCCAAGGCGGGCAGAUCACGAGGUCAGGAGAUCAAGGCCAUCCUGGCUAACACAGUGAAACCCCGUCUCUACUAAAAAUACAAAAAAAUAGGUGGGUGUGGUGGCGGGCGCCUGUAGUCCCAGCUACUUGGGAGGCUGAGGCAGGAGAAUGGCAUGAACUCGGGAGGCGGAGCUUGCAGUGAGGUGAGAUGGCGCCACUGCACUCCAGCCUGGGCAACAGAGCGAGACUCUGUCUCAAAAAAAAGAAAAUACAAAAAUUAGCUGGGCAUGGUGGUGUGCGCCUGUAGUCCUAACUACUCGGGAGGCUGAGGCAGGAGAAUCGCUUGAACCUGGC
This 3253-nucleotide long non-coding RNA is filed under the name Homo sapiens (human). RNAcentral describes it as "HSALNT0370489". The record is from RNAcentral. Lineage: Eukaryota; Metazoa; Chordata; Mammalia; Primates; Hominidae.